GAUUCCCCUAGUAACUGCGAGUGAACCGGGAAAAGCUCAAAUUUAAAAGCUGGCGGUCUUUGGCCGUCCGCGUUGUAAUCUAGAGAAGUGUUACCCGCGUUGGACCGUGUACAAGUCUCCUGGAAUGGAGCGUCAUAGAGGGUGACAAUCCCGUCUUUGACACGGACUCCCAAGGCUUUGUGGUGCGCUCUCAAAGAGUCGAGUUGUUUGGGAAUGCAGCUCUAAAUGGGUGGUAAAUUCCAUCUAAAGCUAAAUAUUGGCGAGAGACCGAUAGCGAACAAGUACCGUGAGGGAAAGAUGAAAAGAACUUUGGAAAGAGAGUUAAACAGUACGUGAAAUUGCUGAAAGGGAAACGCUUGAAGUCAGUCGCGUUGGCUGGAGAUCAACCUUGCUUUUGCUGGGNGUACUCUCUANUUGACGGNNNNNNGAGAUCCCUGUCGUGGGGAGCAUCGACGCCCGGACCAGAACUUUUGGGACGGAUCUGCGGUAGAGCAUGUAUGUUGGGACCCGAAAGAUGGUGAACUAUGCCUGAAUAGGGUGAAGCCAGAGGAAACUCUGGUGGAGGCUCGUAGCGAUUCUGACGUGCAAAUCGAUCGUCAAAUUUGGG
RNAcentral lists this ribosomal RNA (607 nucleotides) under Gymnopilus sp. KS 803/95. Its description in RNAcentral is "partial large subunit ribosomal RNA". It matches the Rfam family "Eukaryotic large subunit ribosomal RNA", at positions 73 to 915 of the family's 3401-position model. Lineage: Eukaryota; Fungi; Basidiomycota; Agaricomycetes; Agaricales; Galerinaceae. The record is from RNAcentral.